AGCGAACGCUGGCGGCAGGCUUAACACAUGCAAGUCGAGCGGGCAUCUUCGGAUGUCAGCGGCAGACGGGUGAGUAACACGUGGGAACGUACCCUUCGGUUCGGAACAACUCUGGGAAACUGGAGCUAAUACCGGAUACGCCCUUAUGGGGAAAGGUUUACUGCCGAAGGAUCGGCCCGCGUCUGAUUAGCUAGUUGGUGGGGUAACGGCCUACCAAGGCGACGAUCAGUAGCUGGUCUGAGAGGAUGAUCAGCCACACUGGGACUGAGACACGGCCCAGACUCCUACGGGAGGCAGCAGUGGGGAAUAUUGGACAAUGGGCGCAAGCCUGAUCCAGCCAGGCCGCGGGAGUGAUGAAGGCCUUAGGGUGGUAAAGCUCUUUUGGCCGGGACGAUAAUGACGGUACCGGAAGAAUAAGCCCCGGCUAACUUCGU
Molecule: ribosomal RNA, 434 nt
Filed under: uncultured bacterium
Lineage: Bacteria
Description: partial 16S ribosomal RNA
Rfam family: Bacterial small subunit ribosomal RNA
Source: RNAcentral